Molecule: non-coding RNA, 218 nt
Organism: Oryza barthii
Lineage: Eukaryota; Viridiplantae; Streptophyta; Magnoliopsida; Poales; Poaceae
Source: Rfam
AAAAAUUCAAAUCUUAGAAUUUCGUGUCCAACUUUAACUGUUCGUCUUAUAUGAAAUUUUUUUAUAAUUCAUAUUUUAUUAUUUUUAGAUGAUAAAACAUGAUUAAUAUUUUAUGUGUGACUUGUCUUUUUUAAUUUUUUUCAUAAUUUUUUUAAAUAAUUUUUUAAAUAAGACGGACGGUCAAAUGUUGGGCAUGGAAACCAGGGUUUGUAUUUUUU